Molecule: long non-coding RNA, 494 nt
Organism: Agrilus planipennis (emerald ash borer)
Lineage: Eukaryota; Metazoa; Arthropoda; Insecta; Coleoptera; Buprestidae
Exons: 2
Source: RefSeq, a predicted model, not a curated record
AGGCAUAUGUACAAUAAGUUUGACCGUGCUGUUUACUUGGAUGUAUAAAUGGAAGAAAGAAAUAAUAUUGUGAAUCUUGACGACAAAAAAUAUUGUAAGCACAUUGUGCUAGUUUGAUUUUACAUUAUUAGUGCGUAUUUAUGUGGGUAUAAGAAAAUAAGUUUCAUUUACGAUUAGUUUAAAUAUAUUACGGAUAUUGGUGGCUAUGUUGUGUAUUAUAUAUGAGUAUGUGUUUUAAAAGUGUGUGCAAUAACGGUAUUAAGGAUGAUAUAAUUGUUAAAUAUUCCUCUGCGAUUUAGGCGAAGCUUUUGUUUUGAGGGAAUUCAAACUUCUUUUACCUGCUCUCUCAUUGGAAAUCAUUGAUAACAGGAUAUAACAGCAGACGUGUGUGGGAUAAGGAAAGGAUUUUACCGAUACGAUAUUACCGAAGGAGUUUCAUAGGAAAGAGAGAGAAAAAAAUUGUAAUACCAACCGCCCCAAUUGCUAUCAGAACG